Molecule: ribosomal RNA, 367 nt
Filed under: Schizophyllum sp. BAB-4015
Lineage: Eukaryota; Fungi; Basidiomycota; Agaricomycetes; Agaricales; Schizophyllaceae
Description: eukaryotic LSU rRNA
Rfam family: Eukaryotic large subunit ribosomal RNA (bases 310-367)
Source: RNAcentral
AUCGAAUCUUUGAACGCACCUUGCGCCCUUUGGUAUUCCGAGGGGCAUGCCUGUUUGAGUGUCAUUAAAUACCAUCAACCCUCUUUUGACUUCGGUCUCGAGAGUGGCUUGGAAGUGGAGGUCUGCUGGAGCCUAACGGAGCCAGCUCCUCUUAAAUGUAUUAGCGGAUUUCCCUUGCGGGAUCGCGUCUCCGAUGUGAUAAUUUCUACGUCGUUGACCAUCUCGGGGCUGACCUAGUCAGUUUCAAUAGGAGUCUGCUUCCAACCGUCUCUUGACCGAGACUAGCGACUUGUGCGCUAACUUUUGACUUGACCUCAAAUCAGGUAGGACUACCCGCUGAACUUAAGCAUAUCAAUAAGCGGAGGAA